This 266-nucleotide signal recognition particle RNA is filed under the name Tissierellia bacterium. RNAcentral describes it as "signal recognition particle sRNA large type". It matches the Rfam family "Bacterial large signal recognition particle RNA". From Rfam's summary of the family: The signal recognition particle (SRP) is a universally conserved ribonucleoprotein involved in the co-translational targeting of proteins to membranes. Archaeal SRP consists of a 7S RNA and homologues of the eukaryotic SRP19 and SRP54 proteins. Lineage: Bacteria; Bacillati; Bacillota; Tissierellia. The record is from RNAcentral.
CCAUGCUAGGUGGGAAAUUAGCGAUGUCCUGUACCUGCAAUUCGCUACAGCAGGACUGAAUUCCCUAUCGCGGAUUGCUUUUUGUGCAGACUGCCCCGAACAAGUGAUGUUGAUAAUUGGGUCCUACGCAACAAAACCUUGCGAACCGUGUCAGGUCUUGACCGAAGCAGCACUAAGUGAGACCUUUUGUGUGCCGUAUGGGUAGCCUAAUUUGAGUUAACUAUUCGGGUACCGUGUAUGAUAGUAAUACAACAUAGGGUGCAUGG